GCUUCUUCCUUUGUAGGAGUGACUUACAGGACAGUUUUGUAUUGCUAAAGCAAAACAGAAGCAGACGUCCCUCCAUAUGUAAGACUGUAAUUGUAAGUGCUGUUUGAUCAAAUUUAUACUGCCUUAGAGACCAUUAGAUGUGUCUUUGUUCAUAUAUCAACUAUUGUGACUCUGCCGUGACUCAUCAUUUGUGAUUACUUGACGAUAAAACAACUUUACUUUCCUUGUCAACAGAUCAGCGUCCACAAGGGGGCACAACACAAUUCAAUUACAGCUAAAUGUCACGCUGACCAAUCCGGUCCCUUAAGAGCUGGAGGAUGCAGCUGCAUGCAUGUUGGCAGCGGCUGGAUUUGAUCAGUCUUCUGGAAGAGGAGCAGUGAUUAAUGAGGAAAUCAAUAACAUGAUAAUCUAAGCCAAGGAGGGGGAGGGGAGCAAUAUCAAUGUAUCCAGAUCCCAUUUAGACUGAAGUGUUACAAAUACAGCCUCUGAGAGAUAUUUUUUAAUCAUAUUUGAGCACUUGAGUUUGAUUAUUUUCUGUUUGUUGCAGUGUAAUUUAUGUUUUAUUUUAUGUACAAGCUGCACCAAACUAAUCCUCCUCAGAAGGAUGAAGAAAAUGAUUAAAAUGGAACUGAAACAAA
Molecule: non-coding RNA, 638 nt
Organism: Xyrichtys novacula (pearly razorfish)
Lineage: Eukaryota; Metazoa; Chordata; Actinopteri; Labriformes; Labridae
Source: the annotation of a GenBank genome assembly